GAUGAACGCUGGCGGCGUGCCUAAUACAUGCAAGUCGAGCGAACAGACGAGAAGCUUGCUCCUUCGACGUUAGCGGCGGACGGGUGAGUAACACGUAGGUAACCUACCUAUAAGACUGGGAUAACUUCGGGAAACCGGAGCUAAUACCGGAUAAUAUUUUGAACCGCAUGGUUCAAUAGUGAAAGAUGGCCUUGCUGUCACUUAUAGAUGGAUCCGCGCCGUAUUAGCUAGUUGGUAAGGUAACGGCUUACCAAGGCAACGAUACAUAGCCGACCUGAGAGGGUGAUCGGCCACACUGGAACUGAGACACGGUCCAGACUCCUACGGGAGGCAGCAGUAGGGAAUCUUCCGCAAUGGGCGAAAGCCUGACGGAGCAACGCCGCGUGAGUGAUGAAGGUCUUCGGAUCGUAAAACUCUGUUAUUAGGGAAGAACAAACGUGUAAGUAACUGUGCACGUCUUGACGGUACCUAAUCAGAAAGCCACGGCUAACUACGUG
RNAcentral lists this ribosomal RNA (497 nucleotides) under uncultured bacterium. Its description in RNAcentral is "partial 16S ribosomal RNA". It matches the Rfam family "Bacterial small subunit ribosomal RNA", at positions 28 to 507 of the family's 1533-position model. The record is from RNAcentral.